RNAcentral lists this ribosomal RNA (253 nucleotides) under uncultured bacterium. Its description in RNAcentral is "partial 16S ribosomal RNA". It matches the Rfam family "Bacterial small subunit ribosomal RNA", at positions 524 to 776 of the family's 1533-position model. The record is from RNAcentral.
UACGUAGGUGGCAAGCGUUGUCCGGAUUUAUUGGGUUUAAAGGGUGCGUAGGCGGUUCUAUAAGUCAGUGGUGAAAUCUCGCAGCUUAACUGUGAAAUUGCCAUUGAUACUGUAGGGCUUGAGUACAGAUGCCGUUGGCGGAAUAUGACAUGUAGUGGUGAAAUACAUAGAGAUGUCAUAGAACACCGAUUGCGAAGGCAGCUGACGAAACUGUAACUGACACUGAGGCUCGAAAGUGCGGGGAUCAAACAGG